AGAUUCUCCCCAGACGCCAAGGAUGCGGGUCAUGGCGUCCCGAACCCUCCUCCUGCUGCUCUCGGGAGCCGUGGUCCUGAUCCAGACCUGGGCAGGACCCUGACAGUCCCACAGAAGAAGUGACAAGAAUUUAUUUAUGACAUGGCAAUAACACAUGUAUUCAUGGUGUUAAUUCCAUUUGUUUCAUAGAGACAGGGUCUUGCUAUGUUGCCCAGGCUGGUCUUCAACUCCUGGCCUCAAGCAAUCCCCCGACUUGGCCUUCCAAAGUGCUAGCAUUACAAGUGUAAGCCAUUGUGUCCAGCCCUUAACUUGAAAAUCUGACUUAGUAUAAUAAAAGAAAAAAAUAGAAGUAUUCUGGAAAUGGAACAGGAAAGAAGGCUAAGGUGGAAACCAUCAAUCUGUGUCAUCUGAGAAGCCCCACGUGCAGAGGCUAUCCCGGGUCUUUAGGGGACAACAAAAACAAAGCACACAGGAUCCUGGUGUCAGGGACAGAGCAUGGCCACGGCGGGAUGAUAGCGGCUCUCCUACGAAAUAGUGCUCAUAAACAUCCCCUCUGAGAAGGAUCAGAUCAACAUA
RNAcentral lists this small RNA (576 nucleotides) under Pongo abelii (Sumatran orangutan). Its description in RNAcentral is "sense overlapping". The record is from RNAcentral. Lineage: Eukaryota; Metazoa; Chordata; Mammalia; Primates; Hominidae.